RNAcentral lists this ribosomal RNA (353 nucleotides) under uncultured bacterium. Its description in RNAcentral is "partial 16S ribosomal RNA". It matches the Rfam family "Bacterial small subunit ribosomal RNA", at positions 338 to 708 of the family's 1533-position model. The record is from RNAcentral.
CCUACGGGUGACAGCAGUGGGGAAUAUUGCACAAUGGGCGAAACCCUGAUGCAGCGACGCCGCGUGAAGGAAGAAGUACUUCGGUAUGUAAACUUCUAUCAGCAGGGAAGAAAGUGACGGUACCUGACUAAGAAGCCCCGGCUAACUACGUGCCAGCAGCCGCGGUAAUAAGUAGGGGGCAAGCGUUAUCCGGAUUUACUGGGUGUAAAGGGAGCGUAGGCGGCGAUGCAAGUCAGAAGUGAAAGCCCGGGGCUCAACUCUGGGACUGCAUGUGAAACUGUAUGGCUAGAGGGCAGGAGAGGCAAGAGGAAUGCGUGGUGUAGCAGUGAAAGGCGUAGAUAUGAAGAGGAACA